RNAcentral lists this long non-coding RNA (201 nucleotides) under Manduca sexta (tobacco hornworm). RNAcentral's name for it is "uncharacterized LOC119190556". Lineage: Eukaryota; Metazoa; Arthropoda; Insecta; Lepidoptera; Sphingidae. The record is from RNAcentral.
GCAGUAUUAUAAAAGUUGCUUUUCCAAGACUUUUUUAACAUUAUUUUGCGAUUUUCUUUCAUAUAUUCUUCAAAAGUAUAUAAAAAAAUAUGGCCAAUGAAUACGAAAUCUUCGAAUUUAUAGAGCAAGACAAUGCUGCUAGUAAUUAAUAUUCCCAUAAUAACUGUAGUUGUCGCCCCGAAACUCUCCGAACUCUGCCGC